Molecule: ribosomal RNA, 482 nt
Filed under: uncultured bacterium
Lineage: Bacteria
Description: partial 16S ribosomal RNA
Rfam family: Bacterial small subunit ribosomal RNA
Source: RNAcentral
ACGAACGCUGGCGGCGUGCUUAACACAUGCAAGUCGAACGCUGAAGCUCAGCUUUUGUUGGGUGGAUGAGUGGCGAACGGGUGAGUAACACGUGAGUAACCUGCCCCCUUCUUUGGGAUAACGCCCGGAAACGGGUGCUAAUACUGGAUAUUCACUGGUCUUCGCAUGGGGGUUGGUGGAAAGGGUUUUUCUGGUGGGGGAUGGGCUCGCGGCCUAUCAGCUUGUUGGUGGGGUGAUGGCCUACCAAGGCUUUGACGGGUAGCCGGCCUGAGAGGGUGACCGGUCACAUUGGGACUGAGAUACGGCCCAGACUCCUACGGGAGGCGGCAGUGGGGAAUAUUGCACAAUGGGCGCAAGCCUGAUGCAGCGACGCCGCGUGAGGGAUGGAGGCCUUCGGGUUGUGAACCUCUUUCGCUCAUGGUCAAGCCGCAACAAUGGUUGUGGUGAGGGUAGUGGGUAAAGAAGCGCCGGCUAACUACGUG